This 567-nucleotide ribosomal RNA is filed under the name uncultured bacterium. RNAcentral's name for it is "bacterial SSU rRNA". It matches the Rfam family "Bacterial small subunit ribosomal RNA", at positions 337 to 917 of the family's 1533-position model. The record is from RNAcentral.
UCCUACGGGAGGCAGCAGUGGGGAAUUUUCCGCAAUGGGCGAAAGCCUGACGGAGCAAUACCGCGUGAGGGAAGACUGCCUAUGGGUUGUAAACCUCUUUUUUCAGGGAGGAAUCAAUGACGUGUACCUGAAGAAUAAGCAUCGGCUAACUCCGUGCCAGCAGCCGCGGUAAGACGGAGGAUGCAAGUGUUAUCCGGAAUCACUGGGCGUAAAGCGUCUGUAGGUGGUUUAAUAAGUCAACUGUUAAAUCUUGAGGCUCAACUUCAAAAUCGCAGUCGAAACUAUUAGACUAGAGUAUAGUAGAGGUAAAGGGAAUUUCCAGUGGAGCGGUGAAAUGCGUAGAUAUUGGAAAGAACACCGAUGGCGAAAGCACUUUACUGGGCUAUUACUAACACUCAGAGACGAAAGCUAGGGUAGCAAAUGGGAUUAGAUACCCCAGUAGUCCUAGCCGUAAACUAUGGAUACUAGAUGUUGAACAGAUCGACCUGUGCAGUAUCAAAGCUAACGCGUUAAGUAUCCCGCCUGGGAAGUAUGCUCGCAAGAGUGAAACUCAAAGGAAUUGACGGA